UGGGGAAUAUUGGACAAUGGGGGCAACCCUGAUCCAGCCAUGCCGCGUGAGUGAAGAAGGCCCUCGGGUUGUAAAACUCUUUCAGCAGGGACGAUGAUGACGGUACCUGCAGAAGAAGCCCCGGCUAACUCCGUGCCAGCAGCCGCGGUAAUACGGAGGGGGCUAGCGUUGUUCGGAAUUACUGGGCGUAAAGCGCGCGUAGGCGGUGUGCAUAGUCAGAGGUGAAAGCCCAGGGCUCAACCCUGGAACUGCCUUUGAUACUAGCAUGCUAGAAUCCGUGAGAGGGUAGUGGAAUUCCUAGUGUAGAGGUGAAAUUCGUAGAUAUUAGGAAGAACACCAGUGGCGAAGGCGACUACCUGGCACGGCAUUGACGCUGAGGUGCGAAAGCGUGGGGAGCGAACAGGAUUAGAUACCCCCGUAGUCC
RNAcentral lists this ribosomal RNA (424 nucleotides) under uncultured prokaryote. RNAcentral describes it as "bacterial SSU rRNA". It matches the Rfam family "Bacterial small subunit ribosomal RNA", at positions 355 to 796 of the family's 1533-position model. The record is from RNAcentral.